This is a long non-coding RNA of Pseudoliparis swirei, 427 nucleotides long. RefSeq lists it as uncharacterized. The record is from RefSeq and is a predicted model, not a curated record. The transcript is spliced from 3 exons. NCBI's taxonomy places the organism in Eukaryota, Metazoa, Chordata, Actinopteri, Perciformes, Liparidae.
ACUCCUCAAAUGCUGUAAAAUAUAUGGCAAACUUCCGCAACCACCUGCAGGAACUGCACCUAUUUUUUAGAAAUAGUGCAAAUAGGUCAGCCACCCUGAGAUCUGCCGCUACCACUCUUGGUCUGAACGACCUGAAAGUAAAGGAGGUGAAAGAUACAAGGUGGUUAUCGCAGCACCUAGCUGUUCAAAACCUUCAGAGGAACCUUCCUGCUAUGCUGGCUGCUCUGGCAGAAGAAGCAAGCUCAAGGAAGUGCCCAGUGGCCAAAGGUUUAUACACCUUCUGUGCCACAUAUCGCUUUGUGGCUGCCCUCUACCUUCAGGCAGAUGUGCUGCCCCAUAUAGCGAUGCUUUCCAAGGUCUUUCAGAGGGCUGAUGUGAACUUUCUCCACAUAAAGGAGCAGGUGCCAGUCACCCUUCUUACUCUGGG